CAGCAGCCACGGUAAUACGUAGGUGGCAAGCGUUGUCCGGAAUUAUUGGGCGUAAAGGGCUCGCAGGCGGUUUCGUAAGUCUGAUGUGAAAGCCCCCGGCUCAACCGGGGAGGGUCAUUGGAAACUGGGAAACUUGAGUGCAGAAGAGGAGAGUGGAAUUCCACGUGUAGCGGUGAAAUGCGUAGAGAUGUGGAGGAACACCAGUGGCGAAGGCGACUCUCUGGUCUGUAACUGACGCUGAGGAGCGAAAGCGUGGGGAGCGAACAGGAUUAGAUACCCGCGUAGUCCCUGUCUCUUAUAC
Molecule: ribosomal RNA, 301 nt
Filed under: uncultured bacterium
Lineage: Bacteria
Description: partial 16S ribosomal RNA
Rfam family: Bacterial small subunit ribosomal RNA
Source: RNAcentral